AGUGAACGCUGGCGGUAGGCCUAACACAUGCAAGUCGAACGGCAGCACAGUAAGAGCUUGCUCUUACGGGUGGCGAGUGGCGGACGGGUGGGAAAUACAGGAAAAUAUACUUUUGCGGGGGGGAACGCGGGGGAACACAUGCGCAAAUAGCACAUAAGAUAUGGGGGAAAGAACGGGGGCUUUGGAGAUUGUGCGCGAGAAAGAGACGAUGUCGGAUUAGCUAGUUGGCGGGGUAAAGGCCCACCAAGGCGACGAUCCGUAGCUGGUCUGAGAGGAUGAUCAGCCACACUGGAACUGAGACACGGUCCAGACUCCUACGGGAGGCAGCAGUGGGGAAUAUUGGACAAUGGGCGCAAGCCUGAUCCAGCCAUACCGCGUGGGUGAAGAAGGCCUUCGGGUUGUAAAGCCCUUUUGUUGGGAAAGAAAAGCAGCAGGUUAAUACCCCGCUGUUCUGACGGUACCCAAAGAAUAAGCACCGGCUAACUUCGUG
This 490-nucleotide ribosomal RNA is filed under the name uncultured bacterium. RNAcentral's name for it is "partial 16S ribosomal RNA". It matches the Rfam family "Bacterial small subunit ribosomal RNA", at positions 29 to 507 of the family's 1533-position model. The record is from RNAcentral.